AUGGAUGCCGAUGAUGCUCAUAGACACACAUACAUCCAUUCGUUGUUUUACAGACACACACAUAUACGAGCAGAAUUGUUUUACAGCCACACACAUAUACCGGCAGAAUUGCUUUUGAGGGCCAGCAGAACACACAUACACGGAUGCUCGCCCGACUGCACAUGCACGGACACUCGCCAGAUUGCACGCGCACGAGCUCUGAACCGCAUGUCAAGCAUCUCUGAGUUGCAUGGCAUGGUCGACGGAUUGCAGGGGAAGAGACGACACUUGCCGGACUGCACACGCACGAGCUCCGAACCGCAUGGCGAGCGUCUCCGAGCUGCACGGCAAUGGUCGACCGACCAGAUAGGAAGAGAUGGUGCUUGCCGGACUUCACAAGCACGAGCCCUGAACCGAAUGGCGAGCAUCUCCGAGUUGCACAACCACAACACCCGCAUGCACAGGAUCUUGGUGCAGCAGCAGCCAGGAAGAGGUCAAGGGGGUGAGGGAUUCAUACCACACAACAUAGCAGGAGGAUCCCGCGGGAGGUGGCAUGGCUGGCGGUGA
This 546-nucleotide ribosomal RNA is filed under the name Triticum aestivum (bread wheat). RNAcentral describes it as "partial small subunit ribosomal RNA". Lineage: Eukaryota; Viridiplantae; Streptophyta; Magnoliopsida; Poales; Poaceae. The record is from RNAcentral.